This 545-nucleotide ribosomal RNA is filed under the name uncultured bacterium. RNAcentral's name for it is "bacterial SSU rRNA". It matches the Rfam family "Bacterial small subunit ribosomal RNA", at positions 777 to 1319 of the family's 1533-position model. The record is from RNAcentral.
AAUAGAUACCCUGGUAGUCCACGCCGUAAACGAUGAGUGCUAAGUGUUGGGGGGGUUUCCGCCCCUCAGUGCUGCAGCUAACGCAUUAAGCACUCCGCCUGGGGAGUACGGUCGCAAGACUGAAACUCAAAGGAAUUGACGGGGGCCCGCACAAGCGGUGGAGCAUGUGGUUUAAUUCGAAGCAACGCGAAGAACCUUACCAGGUCUUGACAUCUCGGUGACCACUAUGGAGACAUAGUUUCCCCUUCGGGGGCAACGGUGACAGGUGGUGCAUGGUUGUCGUCAGCUCGUGUCGUGAGAUGUUGGGUUAAGUCCCGCAACGAGCGCAACCCUUAUUCUUAGUUGCCAUCAUUCAGUUGGGCACUCUAAGGAGACUGCCGGUGAUAAACCGGAGGAAGGUGGGGAUGACGUCAAAUCAUCAUGCCCCUUAUGACCUGGGCUACACACGUGCUACAAUGGACGGUACAAACGGUUGCCAACCCGGCGAGGGGGAGCUAAUCCGAUAAACCGUUCUCAGUUCGGAUUGUAGGCUGCAACUCGCCUAC